RNAcentral lists this long non-coding RNA (371 nucleotides) under Durio zibethinus. RNAcentral describes it as "long non-coding RNA (DZIB_LNC002464)". Lineage: Eukaryota; Viridiplantae; Streptophyta; Magnoliopsida; Malvales; Malvaceae. The record is from RNAcentral.
UGCUAUAAAACCCUUUCUUUUAACUACUCCUUUCACCAUCCAAACCAUACUUGAUACUUCUCCAUUUCAGAUUCUAUGCAAACUUCUUUUCCCUCCAUCUAUUUCCUGUAUAGAUUGGCAUAUUACUAUUGAUUUCCUUGGAAAACAAUGAAGGGGAAGUUUCUAAAGGCAUGCCUUACAAAAUGGAGGAAGAUGGGGAGUAGAAUCAUACCUUGUGGCAGCUGCAAAUACUGUUAUCAGUGGGCAAAUUGGCCUGAUUCCAUGCAUGAAGAGAGGUCAAUCCCAAGGGAUGUGCCCAACGGUCACUUGGCAGUGUAUGUGGGUGAAAACAAUAGGAGGUUUGUGAUUAAAAUCACCUUGCUCAAGCACCC